Molecule: long non-coding RNA, 1270 nt
Organism: Uranotaenia lowii
Lineage: Eukaryota; Metazoa; Arthropoda; Insecta; Diptera; Culicidae
Exons: 4
Source: RefSeq, a predicted model, not a curated record
ACAAAAUUGACUUAUCCCUGUCCUAUUAAGUGAACCCUACAACAGUUAUCCAAACAGAUCAAAACCUUGACCGACUGCCAUCCCUUCCCAAGAUCUCACAUCGUCUUCUCAGGGGAAAUCCAUAGGCGUCGUGUGUUUUCGGAGCCCAGGCGGGGAAGUGUGGUCACCCAGAAAACAACACACUAGUAUUGUUUGUGUUACCGUAAAUGUAUGUGUGUUGGUUGGAUGUAGAAAAUUCCACUUAGCGCUUUAGCGGCUAUCCGCUUCCUGUCCUUUCUGUUCGUGAUCGCCUGAGGGAGCAGUUGUGCGCGACUUGAGUUUUUCAAACAAAAAACAGUGCGAAAAACAAACACAACACGUUAAAAGUAAAGCUAAAUUAUGUUAAAUUUGCUUUGUUAGUACGAAAGUGACAAAGGCAUAAACAACUGUUAAAACGACAUUAAAACGAAGCACAUUGUAAAACUGCAGAUAAAAGGUCCACAAGGGCCUUUUUCUGUUUGGCUGGUUCUUACGAACCACACCAUAAUUAUCCCCAGGCAACCAACAGUUCCGGACAGAAAACACCGUUCGAGACCGGAGUCGAGCAAGCACUUGGUAUCGACUCGAACAUAACCUCGUCUUGGACCGGUCAGCAUCAAAACAACAUCUUUUAGCCCGACGCUGGUGUCGAAAGGUCAACAAACAACAAUCAUACCAGCAUGCUUUAUUUCCGGCCGUUCCCAACUAUGCUAGAACCGGCAAGUAUUGGGGCGGCAUUUUGCAUGUCAGUCGUCUCCAGCCAGGUGCCUCCGUUACUGGUUGAGACGGUGAAUAAUAAGCCGACAGAGGAAUCGCAGCCGCGCGGCGAUUAACCAACGCCGAGGAAGAACCAAAGCCGCAAGUAUUAAUAGUGUGUGACGUCAUGCCAGGGCCCAUCCGUAAAAUAAACUUAAGCAUUAUUGUAAUCGCAUCCAAAAAUUGUGUAACUGUAGAAAUCCGUAAUCGCUUUACACUUCCGGGAAUCGUUAAAGUUUCGAACCAAAAUGGUUAUCAAAUCUCUCUCUAGGGUGGUCCGCUCAGUGAUUCACAGUUUGCGUUGUUUAUCAUAUUUUGAAUUUCCGACUCUGGUUGAUAGCAUGAGAGGUACCCACCCGUUUCGGCACCUCUGAAAAACAUGUUAGCUGUAAUUGGAAUCCCUUGCGUGAGGUUACUCCAGAAGACGGUGUAACGUAGUGAAUUUCCCUGUAACGACCCUGAGUCCCACCAUAAUCUCUCCUUCCCAUGUUCCCAC